RNAcentral lists this ribosomal RNA (254 nucleotides) under uncultured bacterium. RNAcentral's name for it is "partial 16S ribosomal RNA". It matches the Rfam family "Bacterial small subunit ribosomal RNA", at positions 524 to 776 of the family's 1533-position model. The record is from RNAcentral.
UACGGGGGGAGCAAGCGUUGUUCGGAUUUACUGGGCGUAAAGGGCGCGUAGGCGGCCACCGCAAGUCGACUGUGAAAUCUCCGGGCUUAACCCGGAAAGGUCAGCCGAUACUGCGGGGCUAGAGUGCAGAAGGGGCAACUGGAAUUCUCGGUGUAGCGGUGAAAUGCGUAGAUAUCGAGAGGAACACCUGCGGCGAAGGCGGGUUGCUGGGCUGACACUGACGCUGAUGCGCGAAAGCCAGGGGAGCGAACGGG